CUUAUAAAGAAAUAUCUUCAACAUCGAAAUAUUAUACCAUUUCUUUUCCUAAGAAAAACCAGCCAGAUUUCGAGAAUUCAAGAAAGAGUAAAUUCAAGAAAUCUGAAUGCAGUUUGAUAAGUUCAUAUCUUAGUAGGUUUAAAAGUUACAAAAAGAUGGGUUUUUGAUUUCCGGAACUUACAGGCUUUUCUAGUAGGAUACAUGGGAUCCAUUGUUUCAAAAAUAAAUCUAUUUACAUGUCUUUUUACUUAGCACCAAAUACGCUCAAUACAUUAGCAUAUGUAAAAAUAUAGUUUCGUUUCUUCCAAAGCAGCUCUGACAUGAAGAUUUUGCAGAUGGUGUGUUUGAUUGAUGAGUUGUAUACUUAUAUAGCAAAGUGUCCUAAAAAGCUAUUUUCAGUGGCAUAACUGAUCUGUAGAAAUUGCCUGUUUUCAGCUUCUUGGUUCGAUUGCAAAGUUUCUUUCCUAACGCUCUCUGCUCUCAGCGGUUAUUAGUUUUUGUUUUUCAUAUUAUUGUUAUCGAUGGAAAGCUGUAGUGAAAGCAAGUUUAUGCACCUUCUUGGCAUUCAACAGAAGUUUGGCUAAAAGCUCAUGUCCUUGCCCAUGACUCUGGCUAUCACCAGCUCGAAAUCUACUGCUGAGCUAAUUAGCAGGGGAAUGGCCAUUGAGGAUCCAACUGCUCCUCAUGCACUAAGGCUAACAAUCAAAGACUACCCCUACGCUUAAUAUAGAUGAAGCCAUUUUUCAUGAACAAGGGUAUGCUGGUAUUGGUGUGAUACUCAGGGGCAGUGCAGGAGAAGUUAUCAUGACAGCAACAAAAAGAGAGGCAGCAGUUCAAGAAUCUUCUGAUAUAGAAUUGCUUGCUAUUUUUAGAGUCUUACAAUUAUGUCUAUCACUUGGAAUACACAAUUUGAUCAUUGAAA
Juglans regia (Persian walnut) is the source of this 922-nucleotide long non-coding RNA. RefSeq lists it as uncharacterized. The transcript is spliced from 2 exons. The record is from RefSeq and is a predicted model, not a curated record. Lineage: Eukaryota; Viridiplantae; Streptophyta; Magnoliopsida; Fagales; Juglandaceae.